CAACACAACCUAAGACAUUGGUGCUCCAAGACACCCUCAAGACAUUUGUAUGGUACAUCUCUCAGAGGUUCAUCAAAAGAACAUCUCAUCUUGCACUAAUCCAAAUGCUUAUGUUCUAAACUUCUCUUUGUUAUUUUUUUCUUCCAGGGUAGCUGAGAUUUUAGAAUUGGAAAGCAUUGCAGGAGCAAGGAGAAACUACACAAGAAUCAGUUUUUAAACGAAUGUAUAUUAUGUAUAAUGUAUGGAAAGCUUAGUUCUAGUUUGUAGUAUCUUCUCUUUAAUUAUUUACAUCAUGUCUGAUUUGUUUUAGUUGUGAACUCCAUACACUUUUAGUAUUUGUAUGUGUUCCUAGAUUUGUUACAAAGGAUGCUAAUUGUGAGAAUGGAUUUCUACGAAUGCAAUUGGUG
Molecule: long non-coding RNA, 407 nt
Filed under: Triticum aestivum (bread wheat)
Lineage: Eukaryota; Viridiplantae; Streptophyta; Magnoliopsida; Poales; Poaceae
Description: long non-coding RNA (TAES_LNC019719)
Source: RNAcentral